RNAcentral lists this ribosomal RNA (349 nucleotides) under uncultured bacterium. RNAcentral describes it as "bacterial SSU rRNA". It matches the Rfam family "Bacterial small subunit ribosomal RNA", at positions 140 to 504 of the family's 1533-position model. The record is from RNAcentral.
GGGACAACAGUUGGAAACGACUGCUAAUACCGCAUAAGCCCACAGUCUCGCAUGAGACAGAGGGAAAAGGAGCAAUCCGCUUUGAGAUGGCCUCGCGUCCGAUUAGCUAGUUGGUGAGGUAACGGCCCACCAAGGCGACGAUCGGUAGCCGGACUGAGAGGUUGAACGGCCACAUUGGGACUGAGACACGGCCCAGACUCCUACGGGAGGCAGCAGUGGGGAAUAUUGCGCAAUGGAGGAAACUCUGACGCAGUGACGCCGCGUAUGGGAAGAAGGUUUUCGGAUUGUAAACCAUUUUAGACAAGGAAGAAACAAGACAGUACUUGUAGAAUAAGCUCCGGCUAACUAC